AAAACCGUGGAAUGGCCUUUAGUAACGGCGAGUGAAGCGGCAAAAGCUCAAAUUUGAAAUCUGGUACCUUCGGUGCCCGAGUUGUAAUUUGGAGAGGGCAACUUUGGGGCCGUUCCUUGUCUAUGUUCCUUGGAACAGGACGUCAUAGAGGGUGAGAAUCCCGUGUGGCGAGGAGUGCGGUUCUUUGUAAAGUGCCUUCGAAGAGUCGAGUUGUUUGGGAAUGCAGCUCUAAGUGGGUGGUAAAUUCCAUCUAAAGCUAAAUAUUGGCGAGAGACCGAUAGCGAACAAGUACAGUGAUGGAAAGAUGAAAAGAACUUUGAAAAGAGAGUGAAAAAGUACGUGAAAUUGUUGAAAGGGAAGGGCAUUUGAUCAGACAUGGUGUUUUGUGCCCUCUGCUCCUUGUGGGUAGGGGAAUCUCGCAUUUCACUGGGCCAGCAUCAGUUUUGGUGGCAGGAUAAAUCCAUAGGAAUGUAGCUUGCCUCGGUAAGUAUUAUAGCCUGUGGGAAUACUGCCAGCUGGGACUGAGGACUGCGACGUAAGUCAAGGAUGCUGGCAUAAUGGUUAUAUGCCGCCCGUCUUGAAACACGGACCAAAA
RNAcentral lists this ribosomal RNA (595 nucleotides) under Saccharomyces cerevisiae (brewer's yeast). Its description in RNAcentral is "eukaryotic LSU rRNA". It matches the Rfam family "Eukaryotic large subunit ribosomal RNA", at positions 61 to 671 of the family's 3401-position model. Lineage: Eukaryota; Fungi; Ascomycota; Saccharomycetes; Saccharomycetales; Saccharomycetaceae. The record is from RNAcentral.